This 1003-nucleotide long non-coding RNA is filed under the name Triticum aestivum (bread wheat). RNAcentral describes it as "long non-coding RNA (TAES_LNC022144)". The record is from RNAcentral. Lineage: Eukaryota; Viridiplantae; Streptophyta; Magnoliopsida; Poales; Poaceae.
AUUAUAUCUCAACAAGCAUUUGAGUAUUCGAAUACAUGAGAACACAACACAAGAGGCAUACAUAGAUCAUUUUUAGUACAUUUCCAGGAAAACCAAGUAUUAAGGAUUGAUGGAUGACAGAAAAGAUCUAUGAUCCUGCCUUCCUAUUUUAGUGGAAUAGAUGACAACCUCCAUGGACUAUAUAAACUUCUUUCUGAAGGUGACUCUAUAUAAACCUCAUCAGUUCAAUUCACCUAGUUAAGCACACCAAAUAAAUAUGUGUUUGUUAGAAACAUAUAUCAAACAUCAUAUAUUGAGAAGAGAGGAAAUCGUUAUGUCCAGCUUCGUACGCCAUUUGCCACAACUGACAAAUUUACUCCUAAGAAAGAGAUGAACACAAACUCUUUUUACUGAAAAGAGCUCAAUAGCUAUUGUUCGGACACUCCAGUAGGCCAUGACAUAUGUAAAAUACCUUGCAAAAUUAGAUUCAAUCAAACCGCACAUGCACAAAUUUUGAUCUGGAUACCUUGAGAAAAUAUGAACAUAGGCUCCAGAUUCACACGGGCUGAAAGCUUGCACAAUGUAUAAACUUACGGUCAACAUAUUGCAUUUCCAAGGAUUAUUUAAAAACAUAAAUGGCAAGUACAGAAAAAUGUCAUCGAGCAAUUUAAAAGAAGUUUUAUGACAGUCCUAGAGAUGCAGAAUAUUAUUAGAAUUCAAUAGCUAUAAACAAAGAAUUAUAUGGCAUGCAUUAUAUUACCUUGUAAUUACAAGAAAACUACAGCAGCAUGGGAAAAUAAAUAAAAUGAACAUGAUGCCAGAUAGGCUCAUGUGUUGGAAAAGGGUUGAUACUAAAUCACACACAUACAUCCUUGCUUUAGUGAUACCAUAGGCGAGCCAAGAUAAAAGGCCUACACAUCUUCCGUAAAUGAUCUAUCUAAGCCUGGUCAUUUCAAUCCACCUAGUUGUGAUCAGUCAAAGCAAACAAAAAAGUGGUAGUCUUUGAAGCAAGAAAAACACAAAC